RNAcentral lists this ribosomal RNA (504 nucleotides) under uncultured bacterium. RNAcentral describes it as "bacterial SSU rRNA". It matches the Rfam family "Bacterial small subunit ribosomal RNA", at positions 791 to 1301 of the family's 1533-position model. The record is from RNAcentral.
UAGUCCACGCCGUAAACGAUGGUCACUAGCUGUGUGGAUUUCGGUCUGCGUGGCUAAGCGAAAGUGAUAAGUGGCCCACCUGGGGAGUACGUUCGCAAGAAUGAAACUCAAAGGAAUUGACGGGGGCCCGCACAAGCGGUGGAGCAUGUGGUUUAAUUCGAUGAUACGCGAGGAACCUUACCAGGGCUUAAAUGUAAGUUGCAUAGAUCAGAGAUGGUCUUUUCUUCGGACUACUUACAAGGUGCUGCAUGGUUGUCGUCAGCUCGUGCCGUGAGGUGUCAGGUUAAGUCCUAUAACGAGCGCAACCCCUGUUGUUAGUUGCCAUCGAGUAAUGUCGGGAACUCUAACAAGACUGCCGGUGCAAACCGUGAGGAAGGUGGGGAUGACGUCAAAUCAUCACGGCCCUUACGUCCUGGGCUACACACGUGCUACAAUGGUAAGUACAAUGAGCAGCCACUACGCGAGUAGGAGCGAAUCUAUAAAACUUAUCACAGUUCGGAUCGG